UGCGUAGGCGGUUUUGUAAGUUUGGUGUGAAAUCUCCCGGCUCAACCGGGAGGGUGCGCCGAAAACUGCAAGGCUGGAGUGUGGGAGAGGUAGGCGGAAUUCCUGGUGUAGCGGUGAAAUGCGUAGAUAUCAGGAGGAACACCUGUGGUGUAGACGGCUUACUGGACCAUAACUGACGCUGAGGCACGAAAGCGUGGGGAGCAAACA
RNAcentral lists this ribosomal RNA (207 nucleotides) under uncultured bacterium. RNAcentral describes it as "partial 16S ribosomal RNA". It matches the Rfam family "Bacterial small subunit ribosomal RNA", at positions 568 to 774 of the family's 1533-position model. The record is from RNAcentral.